RNAcentral lists this transfer RNA (73 nucleotides) under Thermoplasmatota archaeon. RNAcentral's name for it is "Candidatus Thermoplasmatota archaeon tRNA-Thr". It matches the Rfam family "tRNA". Rfam says of the family: Transfer RNA (tRNA) molecules are approximately 80 nucleotides in length. Their secondary structure includes four short double-helical elements and three loops (D, anti-codon, and T loops). Lineage: Archaea; Methanobacteriati; Thermoplasmatota. The record is from RNAcentral.
GCCAGCGUAGCAUAGGUGGUAGUGCGCCGGAUUUGUAAUCCGGCGGUCGGGGGUUCGAAUCCCUCCGCUGGCU